This 405-nucleotide ribosomal RNA is filed under the name uncultured bacterium. RNAcentral's name for it is "partial 16S ribosomal RNA". It matches the Rfam family "Bacterial small subunit ribosomal RNA", at positions 30 to 526 of the family's 1533-position model. The record is from RNAcentral.
AUUGAACGCUAGCGGGAUGCUUUACACAUGCAAGUCGAACGCGUGGCGGACGGGUGAGUAAUAUAUCGGAACGUGCCCAGUAGCGGGGGAUAACUACUCGAAAGAGUGGCUAAUACCGCAUACUAUUUGAACGGCGGAUAUUGGAUUCGCUAGUGGGUGGGGGAAAGGCUCACCAAGGCAACGAUCCGUAGCUGGUUUGAGAGGACGACCAGACACACUGGGACUGAGACACGGACCAGACUCCUACGGUAGGCAGCAGUGGGGAAUUGUGGACAAUGGGGGAAACCCUGAUCCAGCCAUCCCGCGUGUAUGAGAAGGCCUUCGGGUUGUAAAGUACUUUUGGCAGAGAAGCGGUAUCUGCAGAAUAAGCACCGGCUAACUACGUGCCAGCAGCCGCGGUAAUAC